Molecule: ribosomal RNA, 556 nt
Filed under: Torula herbarum
Lineage: Eukaryota; Fungi; Ascomycota; Dothideomycetes; Pleosporales; Torulaceae
Description: eukaryotic LSU rRNA
Rfam family: 5.8S ribosomal RNA (bases 192-345)
Source: RNAcentral
CCGUAGGUGAACCUGCGGAGGGAUCAUUAAAGAGUUGCAAAACUCCCAAACCAUUGUGAACAUACCUUCAACGUUGCUUCGGCGGGUUGGCCCCGGUCUCCGGGGUCCCCGGCCCUACUCGGGCGCCCGCCGGAGGUAUCUAACUCUUGAACUUUUAUGGCCUCUCUGAGUCUUUGUACUUAAUAAGUCAAAACUUUCAACAACGGAUCUCUUGGUUCUGGCAUCGAUGAAGAACGCAGCGAAAUGCGAUAAGUAAUGUGAAUUGCAGAAUUCAGUGAAUCAUCGAAUCUUUGAACGCACAUUGCGCCCGCCAGUAUUCUGGCGGGCAUGCCUGUUCGAGCGUCAUUUCAACCAUCAAGCCCCCGGCUUGUGUUGGGGACCUGCGGCUGCCGCAGGCCCUGAAAACCAGUGGCGGGCUCGCUAGUCACUCCGAGCGUAGUAAUACAUCUCGCUCAGGGCGUGCUGCGGGUUCCGGCCGUUAAAAAGCCUUAUUUACCCAAGGUUGACCUCGGAUCAGGUAGGAAGACCCGCUGAACUUAAGCAUAUCAAUAAGCGG